GAUGAACGCUGGCGGCGUGCCUAAUACAUGCAAGUCGAGCGAACGGACGAGAAGCUUGCUUCUCUGAUGUUAGCGGCGGACGGGUGAGUAACACGUGGAUAACCUACCUAUAAGACUGGGAUAACUUCGGGAAACCGCAGCUAAUACCGGAUAAUAUUUUGAACCGCAUGGUUCAAAAGUGAAAGACGGUCUUGCUGUCACUUAUAGAUGGAUCCGCGCUGCAUUAGCUAGUUGGUAAGGUAACGGCUUACCAAGGCAACGAUGCAUAGCCGACCUGAGAGGGUGAUCGGCCACACUGGAACUGAGACACGGUCCAGACUCCUACGGGAGGCAGCAGUAGGGAAUCUUCCGCAAUGGGCGAAAGCCUGACGGAGCAACGCCGCGUGGGUGAUGAAGGUCUUCGGAUCGUAAAACUCUGUUAUUAGGGAAGAAAAUAUGUGUAAGUAACUGUGCACGUCUUGACGGUACCUAAUCAAAAAGCCACGGCUAACUACGUG
Molecule: ribosomal RNA, 497 nt
Filed under: uncultured bacterium
Lineage: Bacteria
Description: partial 16S ribosomal RNA
Rfam family: Bacterial small subunit ribosomal RNA
Source: RNAcentral